This 613-nucleotide ribosomal RNA is filed under the name uncultured bacterium. Its description in RNAcentral is "bacterial SSU rRNA". It matches the Rfam family "Bacterial small subunit ribosomal RNA", at positions 401 to 1008 of the family's 1533-position model. The record is from RNAcentral.
GUGGGAUGAAGUUCUAAUCGAGCGUAAACCACUGUGGUAGAAGAAGAAGUUCCGACGUUACGUCGGGAUUGACGGUACUUUACUAGAAAGGGGCCGCUAACUGCGUGCCAGAAGCGUCGGUAAGACGUGGGCCCCAAGCGUUAUCCGGUGUUAUUGGGCGUAAAAGGUCGUGUAGGCGGUUUUACAAGUUAUCUUUUAAAUCUUCCCACUCAACGGGAAAGCAGGAGAUAAGACUGUAAAACUAGAAUUUUCUUUAGGGAGAAUGGAACUGAAAGAGGAGCAGUGAAAUGCGUUGAUACUUUCAGGAACACCAGUGGCGAAGGCGAUUCUCUGGAAGAUAAUUGACGCUGAGACACGAAAGCUAGGGGAGCGAAGCAGAUUAGAGACCUGCGUAGUCCUAGCCCUAAACCAUGCUUGCUAGCUGCAUUUUUUAAUUUAUUAAGAGGUGUGGCGUAGGUAACCCGUUAAGCAAGCCGCCUGGGGAGUACGGCCGCAAGGCUGAAACUCAAAGGAAUUGGCGGGGAGGCACACAACCAGUGGAACAUGUGGUUCAAUUCGAAACGAACCGAAGAACCUCACCAAGGUUUGACAUCCAAGCGUUCUAUUUCCAAGA